AGUCGAACGAUGAUGCCCAGCUUGCUGGGCGGAUUAGUGGCGAACGGGUGAGUAACACGUGAGUAACCUGCCCUUGACUUCGGGAUAACUCCGGGAAACCGGGGCUAAUACCGGAUAUGAGCCGCCUUCGCAUGGGGGUGGUUGGAAAGUUUUUCGGUCAGGGAUGGGCUCGCGGCCUAUCAGCUUGUUGGUGGGGUGAUGGCCUACCAAGGCGACGACGGGUAGCCGGCCUGAGAGGGCGACCGGCCACACUGGGACUGAGACACGGCCCAGACUCCUACGGGAGGCAGCAGUGGGGAAUAUUGCACAAUGGGCGAAAGCCUGAUGCAGCGACGCCGCGUGAGGGAUGAAGGCCUUCGGGUUGUAAACCUCUUUCAGCAGGGAAGAAGCGCAAGUGACGGUACCUGCAGAAGAAGCGCCGGCUAACUACGUGCCAGCAGCCGCGGUAAUACGUAGGGCGCAAAGCGUUGUCCGGAAUUAUUGGGCGUAAAGAGCUCGUAGGCGGUUUGU
Molecule: ribosomal RNA, 510 nt
Rfam family: Bacterial small subunit ribosomal RNA